GGACGCAUAGCUCAGUGGUAGAGCACUACCUUGACACGGUAGGGGCCACAGGUUCAAACCCUGUUGUGUCCA
Molecule: transfer RNA, 72 nt
Filed under: Oscillatoriales cyanobacterium SM2_2_1
Lineage: Bacteria; Bacillati; Cyanobacteriota; Cyanophyceae; Oscillatoriales
Description: tRNA-Val
Rfam family: tRNA
About the family: Transfer RNA (tRNA) molecules are approximately 80 nucleotides in length. Their secondary structure includes four short double-helical elements and three loops (D, anti-codon, and T loops).
Source: RNAcentral